UCAUCAGAAAAAUACCACAAGAACAUGUUAAAGACACCAAAAACAUGAUUUUCUUUGGAGUGGGUCUUUAAUUAUUGACAGUCCUAGAAUCUCUCCUCAGUGAGGGCAGACAUGCUGACAUUUUUUUUUCUAAAAACUUGUUAAAAAAAUAACUUCUGUCAGGAGAAAUUACAUAAUCUCACAGAGAAAGCUGAAUCUGACCGUGAUAGUCAACUCUCCUCUGCUCAGCACAUUUGUUUUCAUGGCUCUAGUGGUUAUGGUUAAUUAUUAUCCUAAGAUAAUAGCCAUGAAGAUUCAGCCUUUAGUCCGUUCCCAUUUUUUUCUUUUUUAAUUCUGUGAAGAGUUUUACCUUAACAUUACCUUGUUGUUUUGUUUGCUUUCUCUUUAAAGCUCUGAUAAAUGGAGCUUUAAGUCUGUCCAGUGAACCUGCAGUGAACCCCAGCAUACCCUGAUCGACCCCCCCCCCUUAGGCCAUUAUGGCAGCGCGUGGGUCUGGAACAGUUACAGCGACCUCGUGUCAUCUAGUGACUCGCUGAGGUUUGUCUUUAUUUUAUCCACAAGAGGGAAGCAAUGACGGCGGCUCGGUGCACAUCGAAGCGAGCGAGCCAUCCUCGUCACGCUUAACGGUUAGCUGCGGUUUCAUCGAUGCUGCUUUUGGUGACAUUAAACUCCCCUCCUGAACCUGUGCAGAUUACAAUCAGAUCCGUAAACAUUUACCAUAAUCUAAACACAUGAGCCUGUCUGGAGGGAAUUUUCAUAAUGCCACUUAAAGAGGCAGUAGAAACAUUUUAAAAGGAUCGAUAAAACAGGUUUACUGAUAAAAUUACAGCCACUGAGAUGGAAUAGUCCAUGCAGCGUUCUCCUGUCAGCAUAUGGGGCCCUCUUUGUGGUCUCUGUGUGAAUGGGGGGGGGAUUGUACUGAGAUAGGACAUGGCAGCCCGUCCCCGACAGGGCCUCUUGGUGCAGAUGGUCCUCUCUACAGUGUAACCUGUGCCAGCGAGGUUACUGCCGUUCACUGAGACCUGCUGCCAGCCCCCACCAGCCGGCACAUCCUACCCCCCCCCCACCCCCCACUCGCACAAAUGUGCGCACGGAACCUGCAGGAUCAGUUUUUGAGUCGGCUCAUGUCUGAUUUUUUUUUUUUUUCUUUUGUUUCCUGGAUGUCAUUGCGCUGAUCACGUUUCACUAGGUGUGGGGACUUCUCAGAAAGCCCCCUCCAGUCCGCCCUCCACACCGAGCCCCCGGCAUGCCGUGCUGCCCAUUGGCCUUCCUGAACGAGGCAGCACACUGUGAUUGGAGGGAAAAGAAGGCAAGUCUGCACAAGGACCACUUACAGACUGACAUGGAACGAGGAAGAAGAGAUUUUUGGUUUGUUCUAAUGUGAAGAAGUGAAACUUCCCUGAAAGUACAAGUUAACACACUUUGGUAAAAGUUUUUUUAAGGAAAGAACCUGUAACUUUGAAGUAAAAGCUUCAUCGGGUGGUUGGAGGGAGUCUUCUUCUGUCUUUAGUCUCUUUUACUUCAAAGACCCGACAGGAAGUUCAGUUUUAUUUUUUUUACAUUAAAAAAAAAAAAAACGUGCGCGAACUUGUCCUGUUCUCACUGGGUGAACCGAGGACAUUCGUUUCUUCAGUUGAGUUAUGUAAGAGGCCUGUUUGAAGAGAACAGAGAACCCACAUGGAAGGGGGGCGGGGAGUCCUGUAUCUAAUGUUGAGUCUGGAUCUUUCUUGUACUCAAACCCUCCUGAAAUCAGGUCACAACGCUGAUCGGAAUCUAAAAAUCCAAGUGUUUUGAUCAGCCUGACUGUUUGCUUGAGUUUAUAGGAGUUAAGACAACAUUACACAGUUGGUGUUCUCUCCUCCUAUUCCUCCUUUACCUGGACAUGAUCACAUUAAACUAACUGGUGAAUUACAUGCACCGCUUUGAAAUAACUCUCCUGUCCCAGCUGUUCAAUGUCCUUUUCUCUGUCUCUAUAAGGGGACAUCUAAUGGGAUUUAAUCCAGCACCUCUGACUGCCAGUCCUGCAGCUCUAAAUAUAACACCAGGGAGAAAAUAUAGCUGUUCUGUGUUCCUUCAUCACCGUUCUGCAUGGCCGUUUAUCUCCUCCCCACCACGUGAGCUUGCUCUGCAUGCACACCAGCCUCUCAUUGCUUUGUUUUUAUGAACUCUGGUUACAUUUGAGAACCCCUGAACCAAAAUUUGAAGAGUACGAAAAGGGAAUCUUAAAAGAUGCUGUUUCGUGCAUGCACGGCAAAAGGCUGGGAUGACCUACAAAACUUGCACAUCCAGCGAAUGGGGUUAUAAGCAAGCGAACUGCAAACCGGGCUGAGAGGAUUGUUCUCUCUGUGUCAGGCUGAUUCAUCAACACGAAGGUCACCGUGUGGAAGUUGUCUGUUACUCACCUGCUGCCUCUGAGAACUUUGGGACCGAUGUGCCGCGGUAUCACCUCCAGCCACAUCACGAGCCUCGCUCCAGUCCGGAUCGCCAGUCUGCCAAAAACAAGCCUGUUAUCUCCAUUGAGAUUAAAUACUACUUACCAAGCCA
Molecule: non-coding RNA, 2544 nt
Organism: Oryzias latipes (Japanese medaka)
Lineage: Eukaryota; Metazoa; Chordata; Actinopteri; Beloniformes; Adrianichthyidae
Source: RefSeq, a predicted model, not a curated record